Elgaria multicarinata webbii is the source of this 854-nucleotide long non-coding RNA. RefSeq lists it as uncharacterized. The transcript has 2 exons. The record is from RefSeq and is a predicted model, not a curated record. Lineage: Eukaryota; Metazoa; Chordata; Lepidosauria; Squamata; Anguidae.
GCCUUCUCCUCCCAAGAUCCUUCAACGCCAGCUGCAGAUUACGAGCGCCGAGGCUCUCUUCCUGCUGCCUUGCCGAGGAGGCGGCGGCGAGGAGAAGAGGAGAAACCUGAUCUCGGCGCUGACUUAGUAAACACCAUGGCAGGGAGGGAGCUUUGCCAAUCAAGCUCACCCAGACACCGCAGCAGCAGCAGCAGCCCCCCGCCCUCGAGCGCGGCCAACUCCGCGCCCUUCCACGCCGCUAGGCUGGAUGGGAGAAGUUCACGUUGAUUUCCACACACGCUGCUGGGAGAUCUGCGGCCCUCCGGAUGCCACUCCAAGAAUGGCUCCUUCUCCGGCACGCAAAUUUGAGCCGAGUGUAUAUUGGCGAUCCGACCGGUGGGCGCUCGAUGUAACCUAAACUGAUGUUUCGAGGGUCACGUGAUUCAACUUUGUCUUUUCUCUCCCCCCACCCCGCCAUUAUUUUUGUAGCAGCCAAUCACAUUCCCGGCACAACCCAGCCAAAUAGGCUUCGUUGGAACGUUGGUAAAGCUUACAUUCCAAAUCGGAAUGCUGGAACAAGGUUGCCAGUAGUGUGAUUGGUUGUAAGAAGUACAUUGGAGGACCGUAGGGUUCUGCCGAGGGCCGUAGAGCGCGCUCUACCUUCUUCCAGUACUCAUUCAGCAUCGAGUUAAAUUUCCUAUAACUUCGUGUCCCAGUUUAACAGCAAAGGUUUGUUUUUAGAUUAGGGAAGGACGUAGUACUUCCUCGGGCAUCACUUAAACAAAGUGCUGGACUUUAAAACUGCAGUUCUAAGCAAGCAGACUGAGAAAUAGUUUCCAUUGUUCAGAAUAAACAUGGGUAAGUUUGAUCUGCAA